CGUGUAUGAUGAAGGCCUUCGGGUGUAAAGUACUUUUGGCAGAGAAGAAAAGGUACUCUAAUACGAGGUACUGCUGACGGUAUCUGCAGAAUAAGCACCGGCUAACUACGUGCCAGCAGCCGCGGUAAUACGUAGGGUGCAAGCGUUAAUCGGAAUUACUGGGCGUAAAGCGUGUGUAGGCGGUUCGGAAAGAAAGAUGUGAAAUCCCAGGGCUCAACCUUGGAACUGCAUUUUUAACUGCCGAGCUAGAGUAUGUCAGAGGGGGGUAGAAUUCCACGUGUAGCAGUGAAAUGCGUAGAUAUGUGGAGGAAUACCGAUGGCGAAGGCAGCCCCCUGGGAUAAUACUGACGCUCAGACACGAAAGCGUGGGGAGCAAACAGGAUUAGAUACCCUGGUAGUCCACGCCCUAAACGAUGUCAACUAGCUGUUGGGGCCGUUAGGCCUUAGUAGCGCAGCUAACGCGUGAAGUUGACCGCCUGGGGAGUACGGUCGCAAGAUUAAAACUCAAAGGAAUUGACGGGGACCCGCACAAGCGGUGGAUGAUGUGGAUUAAUUCGAUGCAACGCGAAAAACCUUACCUACCCUUGACAUGUCUGGAAAGCCGAAGAGAUUUGGCCGUGCUCGCAAGAGAACCGGAACACAGGUGCUGCAUGGCUGUCGUCAGCUCGUGUCGUGAGAUGUUGGGUUAAGUCCCGCAACGAGCGCAACCCUUGUCAUUAGUUGCUACGCAAGAGCACUCUAAUGAGACUGCCGGUGACAAACCGGAGGAAGGUGGGGAUGACGUCAAGUCCUCAUGGCCCUUAUGGGUAGGGCUUCACACGUCAUACAAUGGUCGGGACAGAGGGUCGCCAACCCGCGAGGGGGAGCCAAUCUCAGAAACCCGAUCGUAGUCCGGAUCGCAGUCUGCAACUCGACUGCGUGAAGUCGGAAUCGCUAGUAAUCGCGGAUCAGAAUGUCGCGGUGAAUACGUUCCCGGGUCUUGUACACACCGCCCGUCACACCAUGGGAGUGGGUUUCACCAGAAGUAGGUAGCCUAACCGUAAGGAGGGCGCUACCACGUGAUCUGGGC
RNAcentral lists this ribosomal RNA (1069 nucleotides) under Alcaligenes faecalis. Its description in RNAcentral is "bacterial SSU rRNA". It matches the Rfam family "Bacterial small subunit ribosomal RNA", at positions 400 to 1472 of the family's 1533-position model. Lineage: Bacteria; Pseudomonadati; Pseudomonadota; Betaproteobacteria; Burkholderiales; Alcaligenaceae. The record is from RNAcentral.